GACGAACGCUGGCGGCGCGCUUAACACAUGCAAGUCGAACGGAAAGGCCCUGCUUUUGUGGGGUGCUCGAGUGGCGAACGGGUGAGUCACACGUGUGUAACCUGCCCUUGACUUUGGGAACACGUCAAGAAACUGGGGCUACUACGGGAUAUGAGCUCCUGCUGCGUGGUGGGGGUUGGAUAGUUUCGGCGGUUGGGGAUGGAGUGGGGGCUUAUCAGCUUGCUGGUGGGGUAGUGGCUUAGCAAGGCUGUGACGGGUAGCCGGCCUGAGAGGGUGACCGGCCACAUUGGGACUGCGAUACGGCCCAGAAUCCUACGGGAGGCAGCAGUGGGGAAUAUUGCACAAUGGGCGGAAGGCUGAGGCAGCAACGCCGCGUGCGGGAUGAUGGCCUUCGGGUGGUAAACCGCUUUCGCCUGUGACGAAGCGUGAGUGACGGUAAUGGGUAAAGAAGCACCGGCUAACUACGUG
Molecule: ribosomal RNA, 468 nt
Filed under: uncultured bacterium
Lineage: Bacteria
Description: partial 16S ribosomal RNA
Rfam family: Bacterial small subunit ribosomal RNA
Source: RNAcentral